GCCUCUGUAGCUCAGUUGGUUAGGGCGCUGCAUCGGAAUGGCAGGGCCGCAGCUUCGAUUCCUGCCAGAGACC
Non-coding RNA from Paramuricea clavata, 73 nucleotides. Lineage: Eukaryota; Metazoa; Cnidaria; Anthozoa; Malacalcyonacea; Plexauridae. The record is from the annotation of a GenBank genome assembly.